UCCUUAGUGCCAACAUGCUGGCUGG
RNAcentral lists this non-coding RNA (25 nucleotides) under Mus musculus (house mouse). Lineage: Eukaryota; Metazoa; Chordata; Mammalia; Rodentia; Muridae. The record is from RNAcentral.